UGCUUAACCUGUUUCUUAGGUUAAAUUUGAAGAAAAAAAAAAAAUUUACCUAAUAAUGCAAGAAACAUAGCUUAAUUAAGCGCUGCAACAGACGUCCCUUACAGGACACGCGUCAUAACGCGACGUCUCUCUUUCUCUCUCGAAAUCAGUCGGUUUGAUUCCGAAACUUCUCCGUGAAAACUUGCACCACUGGAAUCGCCGCCGUCUCAGUCGCUUCACCACGUCCUCAUCAAUCGUCGCCAUCAAUCGUUCGUCUUACUCUUAUUGAAAGCGUUGCUAGAUGGCGUUUUUGCUAAACAACACCUCAAUUGCAUCUCACCUCCGAUCUUCUUCCCAGGGAUCUUUUAAGGAGGAGACAAGAUGAGAUUGGUCAAGUGUUGGUUCUGCUCUUCUACGAUAUAUCGAAGCGAGGAUUGUGGUGGCGCGGUGGUUGAUUGGUUGCUGGAGACGGUGGCUAUCCCCCGGUGAUCGAUGGGUGUGGUUAUCGAGAGCUUUGUCUGGGAGCCAACCUCAAGCGUCUUUGUCUUCUUCCUCCUCUCCACAUUUCGCUUCCGAGUCAUCUUUAAACAUACACAAGGUAGCUUCAUGGUGGAGCGUGCUUUACAGACCGCAGAAGCUUGUGUGGAAUCAAACUAACCUUUCCUUGAGGAUCCUGCAACAUCUCUGUCUCCGUUCUCUACGGCUUUCUACUUGGUGAUUGUUAGUCCCAUCUUAUAUGAUUUCUACAACUAUGGACCUGAGGACCGCCAACUCUCUCUUCUAUUGACCGAGUUCUUGCAGAGUGUUGCUUUUCUCGGGGCACUGCUAUUCUUUAUCGGAAUGAAGAACUCUACGAUGACCUCCUCCAAGCAGAACCAAAGAAGCCAAGCAUAGCUGAGGAGCCUACAACACAUAUAACUCUUCUUGUCUUACCAUUCUUCUCAUGUUCAGAAAAUAAUCAAAAACUUUUUAUACAUUUUGAUCACAAAUUCAUACAUUUUGAUCACAAAUUAUACAAUAAUAAUCAAAAACAAUGUUUAAUUAAGAAACCCAAAAUAAAAGACUACCAUUGGAGACCCAAAAUCAUGGUGUUUCUUAA
Brassica napus (rape) is the source of this 1078-nucleotide long non-coding RNA. RefSeq lists it as uncharacterized. The record is from RefSeq and is a predicted model, not a curated record. NCBI's taxonomy places the organism in Eukaryota, Viridiplantae, Streptophyta, Magnoliopsida, Brassicales, Brassicaceae. The transcript has 4 exons.